GAAAUUCUGAGCUGCUGCAUGAACAUUCAUCAAACAUAAGGCUGCAAUUUGGAAAACUUUCAAGCUAAUGCUGCUGAAAUGGAGGUCAAGGGGACUAUGAAGAGGUGGCUCCAGCUGAUCAAACACACUCUGUUACAGUAAUCAGCUGAUCCAGUCGGUAUCCAGACCAGACGGUGGACCUGCACCCAGGAACGACCACAACACAUCCCUGACUGUCAGCGGAGACCAUGUCAGCUAGAUGACAGAUCCCUGUGAAGACCUCAUUGAUGGCCCCAGCACAGAUCCUCAGCAAAGACUACGAGAACCAGACAAGCCCUCUGCACAGACCCUUUUUACCAGCUUCACCUGCUGGCGUGAUAUUACUUCAAGCAGAAGAAGUUGGAUGAAAUAUUCUGAAUGAUAUCAAUCCACAAUCUGACUUGUGAUGCAGCCUGGAAUAAUCACACCACGUUGAUUCGUUUGGCCAGACGAGACUGUUUCCUGACUGAGCCGGGUCUUGUUUGGGUUCCUUGUCACUGUUGCCUUUUGUCUUGCUUGGUUGAAGACACCUAAUAUUCAGCAAUAUUAUUGACUUGACUGCACUGACACCAUUUGAUAAGAACUGAACUGAAUUAUGACACACAAUGUUUUAUAUAUGAAGAGUUUAUUUGCAAAAACAGAUAACUCCUUUUUUUUUUAAAUAUUUUUAAAAAUCAUGUUUUUUGU
This is a long non-coding RNA of Onychostoma macrolepis, 705 nucleotides long. RefSeq lists it as uncharacterized. Lineage: Eukaryota; Metazoa; Chordata; Actinopteri; Cypriniformes; Cyprinidae. The transcript is spliced from 3 exons. The record is from RefSeq and is a predicted model, not a curated record.